UUAACCAAUUUGUCUAAAACACAGUGUAAGGAGCCAUCUAAUGGGUCCAGAGUUCUGCUUUGAACUGAGUCAGCAGGGUCUCAUGUUGGCUAUAAUUUCUCCCUGAAGCAUCCAAGUGUCCACUUGACUUUGGGGGCCAAGAGAGGGGCCUGGGAUAUGGGGCUAAGGCCAGGCAGUGUGGCUGGUUGGAGAGGAUCCGCUUGGCACACCCUUAAUUUCCAAGGGAGAAAUCAACAGGCUUCCUCAUGCUGUCUAUGGAGACCCCAAGGCCCAGAGAGGGUUUGUGCCUUACUCAAGAUCACACAAAGUCACCUGGGCAGGCAUUUUGAGUGGAAGCUUCUACCCUGCGCUGCACAGAUCAUGAAGGCAGCUCACAUCCAGACUCUACCUGGAAUCAACAACAGAAGCUUAUUGUGUCCAUUUCCCAGUCUGCGAAACUGAGACCCAAGGAGUGGAAGGGGCUCACCUCAACUCCUGAAUGGAGUUAGGGCAGGUCAGUACUAGAAUGACCUCCCCCAAUGUUUCUGGAAGGUCUUGAAUCUUAAGGCAGACUUUGUAGCCUUUCCUCCCCUGAUGGCUUCUCUCCUCCUGGCUUCCUGCAGCCAACGAUUUGAAGUCGCAGCUUCUGAGGGUGACAGCCUGGUGAUCUGGCAUCUGGCGACUUCUCCAGCCCCACUGCCACGGUCCAUUUGUGUUCUAGCUUCACAGAACAUCCUUCUGGCCUCUGCAUGUGACUUAGAUUUGUUGCCCAUGUCAGUCCCUCUGCCUCGUAACUGCUUUUGAGGAUGGGGAUGGUGGGGACAAGGGGAUGAAAGUCAUAAAUGGGCAAGUGUGUAGGAGGGCUGGACUAGGUUGAAGCAAGCUGGAUGCCCAAGGUACACAAUGUAAGGAGGUGGUGAUGAUGGUUUAGUUACUAAGUUGUGUCCAUCUCUUGUGACCCCAUGGACUGUAGCCUGCCAGGGUCCUCUGUCCAUGGAAUUCUCCAAGCAAGAAUACUGGUGUGGG
Long non-coding RNA from Bubalus bubalis (water buffalo), 1005 nucleotides. RefSeq lists it as uncharacterized. The transcript is spliced from 3 exons. Lineage: Eukaryota; Metazoa; Chordata; Mammalia; Artiodactyla; Bovidae. The record is from RefSeq and is a predicted model, not a curated record.